UACGUAGGGGGCUAGCGUUGUCCGGAUUUAUUGGGCGUAAAGAGCGUGUAGGCGGCCAGGUAGGUCUGCUGUGAAAACUCGAGGCUUAACCUCGAGAUGUCGGCGGAAACCAUCUGGCUAGAGUCCGGGAGAGGAGAGUGGAAUUCCUGGUGUAGCGGUGAAAUGCGCAGAUAUCAGGAAGAACACCCGUGGCGAAAGCGGCUCUCUGGAACGGUACUGACGCUGAGACGCGAAAGCGUGGGGAGCGAACAGG
RNAcentral lists this ribosomal RNA (253 nucleotides) under uncultured bacterium. RNAcentral's name for it is "partial 16S ribosomal RNA". It matches the Rfam family "Bacterial small subunit ribosomal RNA", at positions 524 to 776 of the family's 1533-position model. The record is from RNAcentral.